CAAAAGCACAAUUUUGUUUUUGAGGGAGAAUGGUUGGGCAAAUGGGAGCAGCGGCCAGACAACCGUAGAGAUGUGUAUUCCACAGAUGACGGGCAUUUUUUCAUCCCGUUUAGUCUACUGAUUCCAUCUCACAUUU
Molecule: small nucleolar RNA, 136 nt
Organism: Malania oleifera
Lineage: Eukaryota; Viridiplantae; Streptophyta; Magnoliopsida; Santalales; Ximeniaceae
Product: small nucleolar RNA snoR143
Exons: 1
Source: RefSeq, a predicted model, not a curated record